GAUGAACGCUGGCGGCGUGCUUAACACAUGCAAGUCGAACGGAAAGGCUCCUGCUUGCAGGGGUACUCGAGUGGCGAACGGGUGAGUAACACGUGGGUGAUCUGCCCUGCACUUCGGGAUAAGCCUGGGAAACUGGGUCUAAUACCGGAUAGGACGAUGGUUUGGAUGCCAUUGUGGAAAGUUUUUUCGGUGUGGGAUGAGCUCGCGGCCUAUCAGCUUGUUGGUGGGGUAAUGGCCUACCAAGGCGUCGACGGGUAGCCGGCCUGAGAGGGUGUACGGCCACAUUGGGACUGAGAUACGGCCCAGACUCCUACGGGAGGCAGCAGUGGGGAAUAUUGCACAAUGGGCACAAGCCUGAUGCAGCGACGCCGCGUGGGGGAUGACGGCCUUCGGGUUGUAAACUCCUUUCGCUAGGGACGAAGCGCAAGUGACGGUACCUGGAGAAGAAGCACCGGCUAACUACGUG
RNAcentral lists this ribosomal RNA (466 nucleotides) under uncultured bacterium. RNAcentral's name for it is "partial 16S ribosomal RNA". It matches the Rfam family "Bacterial small subunit ribosomal RNA", at positions 28 to 507 of the family's 1533-position model. The record is from RNAcentral.